RNAcentral lists this long non-coding RNA (205 nucleotides) under Linum usitatissimum (flax). Its description in RNAcentral is "long non-coding RNA (LUSI_LNC000065)". The record is from RNAcentral. Lineage: Eukaryota; Viridiplantae; Streptophyta; Magnoliopsida; Malpighiales; Linaceae.
CUUCAACUCCAUUCUUCUAUUCUCACCUGCUCCCUGUCGUGGGAUGACCUCGAUUCCCACUUCUCUUCUCAGCAGGCUGAUCUCAAUCGCCGAUUCCACCACCUACAAUCCCGGGAGAAGGCUCCCUCAUCAUCAUCAAACAAGCAGAACGGCGUUGCGACGAAUUUCAAUCAAGCUUCAUCUUCUCAACCAGCGGGUGACGACA